RNAcentral lists this transfer RNA (86 nucleotides) under Sphingomonas sanxanigenens. RNAcentral describes it as "tRNA-Leu". It matches the Rfam family "tRNA". Rfam says of the family: Transfer RNA (tRNA) molecules are approximately 80 nucleotides in length. Their secondary structure includes four short double-helical elements and three loops (D, anti-codon, and T loops). The record is from RNAcentral. Lineage: Bacteria; Pseudomonadati; Pseudomonadota; Alphaproteobacteria; Sphingomonadales; Sphingomonadaceae. RNAcentral also lists the same sequence under 1 other name.
GCGGACGUGGCGAAAUCGGUAGACGCAGCGGACUUAAAAUCCGCUUCUCUGGGAGAGUGCGGGUUCGAGUCCCGCCGUCCGCACCA